UUUAGGGAGGAAGAACCAACAGGGAUUGCCCUAGUAACGGCGAGUGAAGCGGCAAUAGCUCAAAUUUGAAAUCUGGCCCUCGUGGUCCGAGUUGUAAUUUGUAGAGGAUGCUUUUGGUGCGGUGCCUUCCGAGUUCCCUGGAACGGGACGCCAGAGAGGGUGAGAGCCCCGUACGGUUGGACACCUACCCUAUAUAUAGCUCCUUCGACGAGUCGAGUAGUUUGGGAAUGCUGCUCUAAAUGGGAGGUAAAUUUCUUCUAAAGCUAAAUACCGGCCAGAGACCGAUAGCGCACAAGUAGAGUGAUCGAAAGAUGAAAAGCACUUUGAAAAGAGGGUUAAAUAGCACGUGAAAUUGUUGAAAGGGAAGCGUUUGCGACCAGACCUUUUCCAGGGGGAUCAUCCGGUGUUCUCACCGGUGCACUUCCCCUGGUUUAGGCCAGCAUCGGUUUUCUUAGGGGGAUAAAGGCUUAGGGAACGUGGCUCUUUCGGGAGUGUUAUAGCCCUUUGCGUAAUACCCCUCGGGGGACCGAGGACCGCGCUCUGCAAGGAUGCUGGCGUAAUGGUCGUCAACGACCCGUCUUGAAACACGGACCAAGGAGUCGAACAUUUGUGCGAGUGUUUGGGUGUUAAACCCUCACGCGUAAUGAAAGUGAACGGAGGUGAGAGCCCUUACGGGUGCAUCAUCGACCGAUCCUGAUGUCUUCGGAUGGAUUUGAGUAAGAGCAUAACUGUUCGGACCCGAAAGAUGGUGAACUAUGCGUGGAUAGGGUGAAGCCAGAGGAAACUCUGGUGGAGGCUCGCAGCGGUUCUGACGUGCAAAUCGAUCGUCAAAUCUGCGCAUGGGGGCGAAAGACUUAUCGAACCAUUGAAACCAGCGGUAAAAUUUCAUUUACUAGGUGGUUAAGAGGUCCCCUGAGAGGGGGCCUAGGUUAUGUGCCAGUUUACCCUAUAGUUACCCUAUAGUUACCC
RNAcentral lists this ribosomal RNA (969 nucleotides) under Hypoxylon fragiforme. Its description in RNAcentral is "partial large subunit ribosomal RNA". It matches the Rfam family "Eukaryotic large subunit ribosomal RNA", at positions 47 to 1124 of the family's 3401-position model. The record is from RNAcentral. Lineage: Eukaryota; Fungi; Ascomycota; Sordariomycetes; Xylariales; Hypoxylaceae.